AUGAUUCAUACACCUUAUCACACAAUGAAUGUCAACUGGAAGCCUGCCUUCUUGCCAUCUAUGCAGCAAGUCAAACAAGCAAUGGUCCUAGAAGAAGAAGACGAAAACAUACUUGUCAAAAUCACUACACAAAGAGAGAUGUGUACAUUGACAUGUGGCAUUAAAGGCAUCAAUUCCACAGAGAAAUCAUUGCCGGAUGAAGUGCAAGGAAGAGGUACGAAACCGCGAACCUGCUUCGAAGCGAGGACUGCAAUCUUGUACUUGGGGUCAAUGUCAGGUACGCGCACAGUGGAUUUCUGCGCAUUGAAGCAGUCCGACAGAUGGAGGAAGUCGGUGCGAAGCAUGUCGCGCGGCCAUAGCCUUGGAUUGUAG
RNAcentral lists this ribosomal RNA (372 nucleotides) under Triticum aestivum (bread wheat). Its description in RNAcentral is "partial small subunit ribosomal RNA". The record is from RNAcentral. Lineage: Eukaryota; Viridiplantae; Streptophyta; Magnoliopsida; Poales; Poaceae.